This 184-nucleotide non-coding RNA is filed under the name Lachnospiraceae bacterium. RNAcentral's name for it is "6S RNA". It matches the Rfam family "6S / SsrS RNA". Rfam says of the family: E. coli 6S RNA was the first non coding RNA to be sequenced, but its function was unknown until recently. Lineage: Bacteria; Bacillati; Bacillota; Clostridia; Lachnospirales; Lachnospiraceae. The record is from RNAcentral.
AUAUUCCUGGGGUGUUCGACAACCUCGUUAUUUUGAACCUACAUUUAUUGAACCGGGAUUCUAACAUUUAUAUUGCAAUGUCAGGCCUCAUUAGUACAGAUCAGUGGAAGACAGAACAUUAUGUGAAGAAACCCACCUAGCUUAGCUAGGAGUCAAAAUACGAGAAUCGGCAUUUUGGGGUAUU